CAAACGGCAUACCAAAGCUACGGAAACCUGCUUGCAGGUUUGGUAGAGGAGCAUUCCAAAUGCAUCGAAGCGGAAGGGUAACCAACCGUGGAGCGUUUGGAAGAGAGAAUGCAGACAUAAGUAACGUCAAAGUAGUUAAAUACUACUUCACCAGAGUUCCCAAGAUUUCCUAGGCAACGAUUUACGUCCUAGGGUUAGCCGGGUCCUAAGUGAAUUUCAUUAUUGAAUAAGCGAUGGAUAUCGGGUUAAUAUUCCCGAGCCGUUUGCACCCUAGCUGUCUCAUGACGCGGGGCAACACACAGACAGACCUUAAUGACUUGGCAGGAAGGACCUCGGUCCAACCGCGUCUGUGCAAGCACCGCCGAGAAAAGUGUGACAGUAUAUGCAAGCGCCCGUAUUUAAACCGACUCAGGUGGGAAAAUGUAAUACAUUAAGGUGAAAGAGUGAAACCUUGUUAAGGAACUCUGCAAUCUAGCCCCGUAACUUCGGGAGAAGGGGUGCCAGCGCAAGCUGGUCGCAGUAAAUUGGAUCAACCGACUGUUUACCAAAAACACAGCAUUGUGCGAAGACGAAAGUCCAAGUAUACGAUGUGACACGUGACCAAUGCGGAAAAAUCAAGGCAAGAUGUUAGCGCAAGCAAAGCUUCGAACCUAAGUUCCCGUGAAUGUCGGCCGUAACAAUAACGGUCCUAAGGUAGCGAAAUUCCUUGUCGGGCAAGUUCCGACCUGCACGAAUCGUGUAACGAGUUGACCGCUGUCUCAACAAGGUGCUCAGUGAAAUUGUAAUAGCAGUAGAUGCUGCUUAAUUGCGGAAGGACGGAAAGACCCUAUGCACCUUAACUGUAAGCUGUUAUUGAUUUGUCGGUUUUUUUGCUUAGCGUAAGUGGGAGGCUUUGAAGUUGUUCUUUCGGGAACAGCGGAGCCGUCAAUGAAACACCACCCUUAAAUGCUAAUGAAUCUAACCACUGUAUGUGGGAAAAUGACAGUCGGUCAGUUUUACUGGGGCGGUAUCCUCCCAAAAAGUAACGGAGGAGUGCGAAGGUUGGCUUAGCGCGGUUGGCAAUCGCGCUGCAAGCAUAUAGGCAUAUGCCAGCUUAAUUGUAAGACAUACAAGUCGAGCAAAUACGAAAGUAGGCCUAAGUGAUCCGGCGGUUUAAUAUGGAAUUGCCGUCGCUUAACGGACAAAAGGUACGCUAGGGAUAACAGGCUGAUCUAGCCCAAGAGUUCAUAUCGACGGCUAGGUUUGGCACCUCGAUGUCGGCUCGUCGCAUCCUGGGGCUGGAAAAGGUCCCAAGGGUCCGGCUGUUCGCCGGUUAAAGCGGUACGCGAGCUGGGUUCAGAACGUCGUGAGACAGUUCGGUCCUCUAUCCUCCGUAGUCGUUAGAGAAUUGAGGAAUUCACUUUUUAGUACGAGAGGACCGAAAGUGACGCAUCCAUGAUACACCAGUUGUCACGUCUGUGGCAUGGCUGGGUAGUUAUAUGCGGAUAAGAUAAGCGCUGAAAGCAUCUAAGCGCCAAGCUAUUUCCAAGAUAAAUUCUCUAUUUGGAUCGUGGGAGACUACCACGUUGAUAGGAGUUGGGUGCAGGUGGAGUAAUUCACACAGCUCAAACUUACUAAUCAUCCAAAAG
RNAcentral lists this ribosomal RNA (1628 nucleotides) under metagenome. RNAcentral's name for it is "bacterial LSU rRNA". It matches the Rfam family "Bacterial large subunit ribosomal RNA", at positions 1183 to 2915 of the family's 2925-position model. The record is from RNAcentral.